AACACCAGCGAGAAUUCGCAAACGUCGUCCGUUAUGGCGCACCCAGAGAUGCCUUUGAUAAACGGCAUCAUGAAGAGUAAGGUCCACAGGAAGAUCAGAAGGUUUCUCAUCCUGUAAUGGAAGAUUUCCCUGAUGUAGCCUGAACAGGCGAAAAUUUGAAUUAAAGAGGAUCUCUUAGUCCCUGGCAGUUUGGAAGAAGGAAGGAAGGAUGGAUAUGUUUUAUAUAACGACGCACUCAACACAUUUUAUUUACUGUUAUAUGGCGUCAGACAUAUGGUUAAGGACCACACAGAUAUUGAGAGAG
Long non-coding RNA from Gigantopelta aegis, 304 nucleotides. RefSeq lists it as uncharacterized. NCBI's taxonomy places the organism in Eukaryota, Metazoa, Mollusca, Gastropoda, Neomphalida, Peltospiridae. The transcript is spliced from 3 exons. The record is from RefSeq and is a predicted model, not a curated record.